This 425-nucleotide ribosomal RNA is filed under the name uncultured bacterium. Its description in RNAcentral is "partial 16S ribosomal RNA". It matches the Rfam family "Bacterial small subunit ribosomal RNA", at positions 354 to 796 of the family's 1533-position model. The record is from RNAcentral.
GUUAGGAAUAUUGGACAAUGGGCGCAAGCCUGAUCCAGCCAUGCCGCGUGAGUGAUGAAGGCCUUCGGGUUGUAAAGCUCUUUAGCCGAUGAUUAUAAUGACUGUAGUCGGAAAAUAAGCCCCGGCUAACUUGGUGCCAGCAGCCGCGGUAAUACGAAGGGGGCGAGCGUUAUUCGGAAUCACUGGGCGUAAAGCGUGCGUAGGCGGCUUUGCAAGUUGGGAGUGAAAGCCCAGGGCUCAACCCUGGAAUUGCUCUCAAAACUGCAAGGCUCGAAUUCGGGAGAGGAUAGCGGAAUUGUCAGUGUAGCAGUGAAAUGCGUAGAUAUUGACAGGAACACCAGUGGCGUAAGCGGCUAUCUGGACCGAUAUUGACGCUGAGGCACGAAAGCGUGGGGAUCAAACAGGAUUAGAUACCCUUGUAGUCC